CCCAGACUCCUACGGGAGGCAGCAGUGGGGAAUAUUGCGCAAUGGGGGCAACCCUGACGCAGCAACGCCGCGUGCAGGAAGAAGGUCUUCGGAUUGUAAACUGUUGUCGCAAGGGAAGAAGACAGUGACGGUACCUUGUGAGAAAGUCACGGCUAACUACGUGCCAGCAGCCGCGGUAAUACGUAGGGGGCAAGCGUUAUCCGGAUUUACUGGGUGUAAAGGGAGCGUAGACGGCAUGGCAAGUCAGAUGUGAAAGCCCGGGGCUCAACCCCGGGACUGCAUUUGAAACUGUCAGGCUGGAGUGCAGGAGAGGUAAGUGGAAUUCCUAGUGUAGCGGUGAAAUGCGUAGAUAUUAGGAGGAACACCAGUGGCGAAGGCGGCUUACUGGACUGUAACUGACGUUGAGGCUCGAAAGCGUGGGGAGCAAACAGGAUUAGAUACCCUGGUA
RNAcentral lists this ribosomal RNA (448 nucleotides) under uncultured bacterium. RNAcentral describes it as "bacterial SSU rRNA". It matches the Rfam family "Bacterial small subunit ribosomal RNA", at positions 330 to 792 of the family's 1533-position model. The record is from RNAcentral.